This 39418-nucleotide long non-coding RNA is filed under the name Citrus maxima (pomelo). RNAcentral describes it as "long non-coding RNA (CMAX_LNC001275)". Lineage: Eukaryota; Viridiplantae; Streptophyta; Magnoliopsida; Sapindales; Rutaceae. The record is from RNAcentral.
AAAAGAGUUUAUGACUGAUUCCUUGGUACCAUUAAUUUCUAGCCACAAACAUUCUUGCCUACUUACAAAUUGAGCAAAAUCAUAUACUAUGUCAUGCAUCUUGCAACUCAUAAUAUCAUCAUCGUCAUAAUAUUUUUCAAACUCUUGAAAGAAAGAGCGUGUUGCUAAGAUGUUGAAAUACUCUUCUCCAAUCAUCUCCAUUUCUUCGUCUUCAUCUGCAUUAAGGUAACUUUGAGCCAUCCAUAGAUUAAUCAAUUCCCUUUUAUUCAUAUUGUAGUCUUUUGGAAAGACAGCACAAUAUGAGAAGCACCGUUUUACCAUAGAAUUAGAGGGCAAAUCGUUAUAACUCAACAACAAAGGAGCCAAAAUACCUUGCCCAAUCUCUUCUACUUUCCACAUUUCACUAUCUAAAAUUCUUUGCCACUCUUUUACUAUACUUUUAGAGCGCAAGAGAUUCCCUAUUACCUUUGCAGCAAGAGGCAGGCCUUUGCACUUACAUGCAAUUUUUCGCCAAAUUGGUUCUAAUUUUUCACAAUCCUCAAAGGACCUACGUAGAAAUGCUAUCUACUUAAACAGUAACCAACAUUCCCCUUCACCCAACUCCUUGACAGGGAUAAUAUUUAUUGAUCCCAACUGUAGUGCAACUGACUUAUCACGUGUGGUAAUCCGAAUUUUACUUUCAUGGUGGCCAUUCUUUAGACAAGAAAAGAAUGGGUCCCAUUCUUUAUAAUCUCCAUCCCACACAUCAUCUAAAACAAGAAAAAAUUUCUUCCCCGUAAUAUAUUCCUGAAUCUGUUUCAUAAGAGAUUCGAAUUCGCUUAAACCAGAAGCUGACACGCCUAGACCUUCAAUGAUUGCUUUGGCGACCCUAAUCUCCUCAAAAGUGUCUGAUACACACACCCAUAUAACUUUUUCAAAAUUUAUUUUCACCUCAUCAUUAUUAUAGGCCAGUUGUGCAAGAGUGGUUUUACCUAUACCCCCUAACCCAACUAGAGAGAUGACAUAAAGGCCUUGUUGUUGUUCACUACUUUCACACAACAACUUGCUUAAGAGCUCAUUUUUCUCAUCAACUCUACCGCAAACCUCUCCCUCAUCAAUCAAGGAGGUGGUUCGCACUCGCUCUGGUUUCUUAACAUUGUUGCUCACAUUCUCAACAAAUUUAAACGUAUCGUUUUGGGAGGCAAUAUCAUCUAGCUUUCCAUUGAUUUCCCUAAUCUUGACGGCAAUGUCAUGACGAAGACUAAGUUGUUUGAAACUACCAAAGCAGUUUGAUACAGCACAAAAGAAGGAGCGUACCUUCUUCUUAUGAGGAGCAAGAGCAAGAGCAUUGUCAUCAUCAACGCCCUCAAUCUGCAAUUUGAGCCUUGCAGUGGUCCACUCCUCCAACACGUCUUCCAUGUCGUAAGAUGCAUCUUUGAGCUGAUCCAGCCAAAAAGUAACAGCAUUGUCGCGCUGCAUUUGCCUUUUCUCUGAAUCUUCCAGCACAGCUCGAAUGGCUCGAAGAUUGCUGGCAAGCUUUUUCACUUCUUCUCCGAAACCAGUCACAAGCCUCACGUGUUGUUUCACUUCAUCAGCCGCAACGGAGAUCAGCUGCUCCAGGAGAGAGGAAACGAUCGCAUAAACCAUUCUGACAAAGAAAACGAGAAUUUUGAUGAGUUAUUAGAUGUGCUUUUGUUGCGAAGAUAUGAAAGAAAAGGAGUUAUUGCAUUCUUUUAUACUGCAUAGAAAAUGUUUAUGCUUAUCCCCACCCCACACGUCAAUGAUUGUAGAAUGUUUAAUUUCCCACACGUUAGGAAUUUGGGACAUAAUAAUAAAUAUUCUCAAAUUUGUCGCAUCUUUAACGUAUGAGCACGUGUUUUGUCUAUGUCACUUUUUUUCUAUCUUACUGCAAUAUCAGGUAGAGGAAUUCGAUCAGUUUCCCCAACAGAUGGGAAACGAUGUCAUCAGCCAAUUGAUGUUGGAUUAAAUGCUAAAUGUUACGAUUGCUUUUGUUGCGAAAAUGCUCAAAGAAAAGUGGCUUUUGUGUAUUCUGUGAGAAUGCUCAUUCAAGCAUUUUUGCAUUCUUCUUAUACUACGUGAGGUAUUUAAUUUUUACCCUUGAGUCAAUGUCAAUGUGAAAGCUUUUAUGCUGCAAAUUAAAGAAAUCCCAGACCAAUAAUUGUACAACAUCUGCCCUGUCUCUCUGAUUCAUAAUAAUUAUGCAGACUACUCAGCAUCGGCACUUGUAAAAUUUCUUACAUUAUAAGUAACGAAAUAUUUGUAAACUACCACAAAAAGCUUGGAGCAAUCUACUGAUGAACCUUCUGAAGUUACAUAAAAUAGAAUAAUCUUAGUGUUGGAACAAUUUUAAAAUAAAUGAUGUCUCAUUAUAAAGACAUAUCUAAUUAAUAUAGAAGAGUAAUCUUUUGAUAUUUAAUAAAUAUCAUACUAUGGUCUAUGACUUAGCUCAUACUACAAAGAAAAUAUGUGAAAGAUAAUUAAGGAAUAAAGCUUUCAACAACGAUUUAUAAAAUUGCUUUUGAUAAAACUGUUCUGAUGAAAUGAAAUUAUGUGAAAUUACUAAGAAUUUAAUUAGCCUCUCAAAAAGGUUCAUUGAUUGCUUGACUUCUCAAGUUUAAAAUUCGAAUGUCAAAACAGAUAAAACGUUAAAAAAUUAUUUUGAGUUUUAUCCACCCGUUUACCAUUUUAAUACAUAAAACUCUCCUAUUGCUUUAAAGUAUCAUUUUUUGUUUUAAACAAAAAAUGACACUUUAGUAUCAUAUGUUUGCAAGAUAUUCGGCCAUGAGUGUUGACGGAAAUUUCUUCAUCCUUGAGCGGAAAAUAAAAAGAAAAACAUAGUUCGCAAUUUUAGUAGCGAAACCAAUAUUUUGAUCCAUAUGGGGUAAAUCUUCAGGAGGCCCAACUUCAAACUUAAAAUGUUAGCUGAGGGUUUAAUUUUAGACUGUUUUUCUAUUUAUAGUUAUUAUAUAGUUGUUAGGAAUUUCGAAAUUUUAGAAUUUUGCUUGUAGCUACAGGCUGCAGCGAUUUUAUUUGGCGACUUUGAUUCAUAAUUGAAGUACUGUUGCAAGUAAAAACUAAAAAAAUAAUUAACAAAAUAAAAAUCAAAGACUUAGGCCCAAGUUUUUAUCAAAAUUUUAAUAAAAGGCUAUUUGUCACAUCGUCAUAAUGGAAAAAUAAUUAAUACAAUAAACAAAUCGAGUUACUUGAUUUUAUUUUAAUAAUAUAUAAAUAAAAUUUUUAUUAUAUGUAUAAAUUUUAUAUAUCAAGUUCUUAGGGGUCAAAUCAGUUUUUUUAUACCUAAUUUUUAAUAUUUCACUUCGAAACCUCAAAAUUUUUCAAAGCUUGUAGGGUCAUGAUCCUCACUAGGAGUGGGCAAAUUUGUGUUCAUAUUAACUUAAUCGGGUUUUAGGUUGAUUGGGUUAGAAUAUUCAGAUUGGAUUGUAUCAAAUCAAAAAUUCAAGUUUAGUUUGGAUUGCAUCAGGUUAUAAUUAUAUGGGGAUCAAGUUGGAGUUGGAUUAGCCAACUUGGAUUAAAAUCAAAUUUGGUCAGCUAGGAUGGAUUCAGAUAAUGUUGGGAUUAGGGGUGUUUUUGAGCCUAUUUUGUUUAUUUUCAGUUUUUUUUUAAAUUAUUUUAGUUCUUGAAGAUGGUUUUAUUGUAAUUAUCUCAUUUGAAUUUGUUUUUACCAAUUUUCAACCAAAAAAAAUGAAAACUACUACUAUAAAAUCAAAUGAAUAAAAAUUGAAAUGAACUACUACUAUUAGAUUGGAUCGGAUCCUCAUCUCUUGGCCUUCUUAUACAAUAAGGUAACUUUGAGCCAUCUAUAGUGUAGUUUUCAUUUUUUUUAUUGGUCAUUUAUAUUGUAAGAAUUUCCCUAUUAAUAUUGUUCCCAAUCUCUUCUACCUUCUACAUAUCACUAUCUAAAAUUCUUUUCCAUUCUUCUGUUGGUCAUUUAUAUUGUAAGAAUUUCCCUAUUGCCUUUGCAAUAAGAGGCAGGCCUUGCAUGCAAUUUUUUUUAUCAUUUGGUCACCAUCCUUAAAAAAUUGACCAAAAAAUGCUACUUGCUUAAACAAUGACCAACAUUCUUCUUCAGUUAAUUCCUUAAUAAAAAUAAUAUUUGUUAAUCUCAUCAUGCUUGCUAUUAUCUAAUGAUGUGUAGUAAUCAAAAAAUUGACUACUGUAGAGACCAUUCUUUAAACAAUAGAAGAAUGGUUCCCAUUGAUUGUAACUUCCAUCCCACACGUCAUCUAGGACAAGAAAAAAAAAAAUCUUUCCCUCAUUAGAUUUAUCAAUAUGGUUUACAAGAGAUAACCUAAUAUUUGUCUGUUGCCAUUCUUGCAUUAUAUGCAUACUCCAUGACUUACAAGAUUGCUUCUUUGACCAUCUAUCUGAUAACCUCCAAUGGCAAAGCUAGCAUCAUUUGUUUGGGUGGGCUAGAUUUAAAAAAAAUGAAAUUUACUUCUCAAAAAAUUUGUUUUAUAUAAAUGAAAUUAAGCACACUACAUAAGCAAAAAUUUAACCAUAAAACUAUAAAAAUACAAUGUAAAUAAGAAAAACAAUAUUGACGAAGAUGUGUCCUACGGUUCUUCAAAAAAGAAAAUUCAUCUACUAUCGCAUAUGAGUCAAUAUUGUCUGCAAUUUCUCUUUCCAUGUAAAUAACCAUACAAUCUGAAAGAAACUCAUUCUCCAUCUUGUUUCAAUGUGUUGUCUUAAUCAGUUUCAUGGCAGAAAAUGCUCUCAACUGUUGUUGCUGUUGAAACAAGAAGGGUUAACACUAAAUGAUUAACACUAAACAAGAAGGGUUAACAAGAAGGGUUAAUCUAUCCAACAAGAAAUAAAUCUAUGACUUUCUAGUCUCAACCAAUCUUCGACACAGUUUAGAAAGGGAAGUAAUAUUCUGAAACUCUUGAAGAGAGUGUAUAUCUAUCUCAAAGCACUCUAAUUGUCUUCUCAAAGCCUGUAACUCAAUCUUAGUGAAUCUUUAGGAUAAAAUCUUUCAGCAAGGCUGUAAAUAUCUUCAAUUUUAAAUGAUUUAAAUGCAUCAAUAGGAUUUAAAGCUGAACUAAGAGUGAGGAGUUCCAAAGUCUGUUAAGCAAAUCUAUUAUUCAACUCCAUCAAUUGAAAAUCUAUCACAGCAUUAAAUAUAUCAUAAUGAUAAUAAUGCUCAACUGUAAUAUAAUUAUUCUGCUGACAAGAACAUCCUCUGCCUUUCAUAUGGCGAGCUUUCAUAUCAGGCAUAUCUAUCUCAUUCUUUUCAUAAAAUAGAACUACGUUCUCAAUAAAAGUUUUCCAACCAUUGUCUCGCAGCCUUUGAAGAAGUUUUUUCGUAGUUGAGACUAAGUGCACAACAUUUAGAAUAUCUUGAGAUUUAACUUGUAAUGCUUGACAAAGUAAAUCACUCACCCCCAAAACUUUAUUUAAUAAAUGCAAAAUGAACACAAAUUUAAAAGAUGUCAUUGAUUCACAUGCACCUUUAGCCUCUCCACAUAUACUAUUGUUAGGUCCACACUCGACCAACUUCUCAAGAACUUUACGAACAACACUAAACAAAUCAAGCAACCUACUGAUAGAAUGGAAAUGAGAGCUUCACCAAGUAGCUCCAGGCCGUUGCAAAGUAUGAAUUUGAUUGGCCCCUGUACCAGUUUGAACUUCUCCUGAAGCUAUCAAAUCUAUUAUUUCUGCUUCCCAAACAAAUUUUAACUCAGAAAGUCGUUUAGCAGAUGAAGUCAGAACAUUUACAAUUGAACCCAAUGCUGAAAAGAAAAGCCAUACAUCUGGCACAUCAUUAGAUGCUGCAACUAAAGCAAGUAGUUGAUGUGCAAAACAGUGUAUAUUAUAUGCAUAUGGGCAAUCUUUCAAAAAUAAUGCUUGUAAUCCAUUCCAUGCAUCCCGCAUGUUACUAGCACCAUCAUACCCUUGCCCUCGGAUAUUUUCAACUAAAAGAUCAUAUCGUGCAAGAACAUUACAUAUUUCUUUUUUCAAUGUUACUGUUGUAGUUUCCAUGACAUUGACAACUUCAAAAAAACGUUCUCGAAUAUACCCAUCACAAUCAACAUACCUUAAAAUAAUAGCCAUUUGCUCUUUAUCAGAUUCCUCAAGUGCUUCGUCUACUAAAAUACAAAACUUACCAUCUCCAAUUUCCUUGCUUAUCUUGUUUUCGCACUUUGUUUGCAAGAAUAUUUAAAAGCUCUUUUUGAAUGUCAGACGAUGUAUACUUAGCAUACGAUGGAGCAUUUUCCAAGACAACUUGAGCAAUUUCUUUACUACACUCCGCUGAAUGCUUUAUCAACUCUAUGAAAUUUCCCCGAUUUCUUGAAUCAACUGGUUCAUCAUGACCUCUAAAAGCACAUGCUUGCUCUGCUAACCAUUUAACUGCAAUAAUUGAGGUCUUCAAUCGUAGCCUAUUCUCCAAAAGUUGUUGUGAAGUUUGGGCAUUAAUUAAUCUAUCAAUGUGUUGAAUUGGGUUCCUCAAACAACCCCAACUCUGCAUAUUCUUAUUAUGAUGAGAAGAUGGACCUCCUUCAUGCUGUAAAAAGGGACAUUUUUUUCCAUUGUUGACUCUCUUCCAACUAGAAAAUCCUUCAAUAACAAAUUUUGGGUUGUUUGAUGGAAUUUCAUCAAAAAGAAAGCAUGGAAAACAAAAUGCACGAUCUUUUACCUCAGAGUACUCAAGCCAUGGAAAUUUUUUAAACCAGUGACAGUGAAACCUACGUUCUUGCAUGCCAUCAUUAGUUAGUGGAUAAUCUCGUAGUUUAGGCUGAUAAGGUCCCAUUUUGAUGUACUCCCUUCUAAUAUCAUCACAUUGAUUUACUGAAUACGUCCCUAUUUGAUGACGUAAUCCAGGAUCACGCUCCAGAUAAGUAUUUCUAGUUUCUUCAACUUCAACCCUUUGAAACUUGGAAGUAUGUUGCUCACUGGAAUCUUGAGCAUUAACUUGACAUGGAGAUAAAGACUUGGUGGAUGAUUGAUUUUCACCUACUCUCUUAAAAAAAGAAAGUAGAGUUUUUCUUGGUUUAUUUAACAUUGAAUUUGUAAUAAAAUACAUUAAAAAUUUAGUAUUUAUUUUAUAAAAAAUUUGACAAAAUCGCAAGUUAAAAGCUAAUUAAAAAAGUCAGCAUUCAAAUUAAUUAUUUUACUAUUUUAUUCACUCAUUCUUUCAUGCCAUCAUUAUUUUAUAAUUACAAGAAGAUGAAUCAACACCUUUCACAGUUCCACUUUAUAUGCUAUCAUCACCGUUUUUCACAUUCUAUUAUUUUAUAAUUUUAAAAAGAUGAAUCACAGUUCACAAAAUCAACAACUUCCAGUCUUCCACAAUUCCACUUCGUGUGCCAACCAUCAUUAUCAUAAAAUCAUAUUAUAUUCUGUAAACUAAAGUUUAAAAGGCAAAGUGCUUUGUACCAAGGGCCGCAUCAAGAGACUGGGCAUUCGGCGUCGGCUCGGCAGUGAGAGAUUCAACCUAUGGGUGCGGGCCUUGCGGCAGUGGUUCGGCGUCACUCAUGAGGCAGCGGCUGGGCGUCAAUUCGAGCGCAGGAGACUGGGUAUUCAGCAGCGGUAAGAGACUUGAGCAAUUGAAUUUUGGUAAAUUUCAAAUUCGGAUUUAGUUAGAUACUGGUGAGUUUUAUGAAUUGUGAUUUAGGGAAAUAAAAGAUUCCUAUAAUUAUUGGGUUUGUUUUUAUUUUUCUAUAAAUACUAAUAAAAGUAAAUUUAUAAAUUAUAAAUAUUUUUUUUUCAAAAAGCUUACCCAGGCUGCAGCCCGGGUUAGCCUUCCCUAAGCUUUGCUCUGCCUCCACAGUCAUUGUCUACUUCCCUUGAAUGUCUUCGGGAUGGUUGUUCCUUUAUGUGGUCACAUCAUGAUAACAAGCAAACUUACUCUAAUACCAGCUGGCGAUGAGGAAACAUUAAAAGGCUAUUAGAUAAUAGAAACUAGGUUUUUAAAUAAUAAGUUAUAUUGCGAAUAAUUUGAACAAACAAAAUUGGGGUAUUGAACCACUUUUAUAGAAGCAUAAAUAUUAGGAAUUUACCAAAAUAGGCAAAUCCAAAAUAUUAUAUGAUAAUAAAAUCCUUCUAAUCUAAAUAAGAAAAGGAAAACAAAUGGAACUCAAAUCCAAUAUCUAGAAAAAAAGGAUAAAAAUCCUAAAAGAAUCACGACAAAUUAAAAAAAUAUCUUAAAACUGAAAAACAACAAAGAAAGAAGUGAAAUUUUUUGCUCAACCGCAGGGCAUGAUAGCAUAGACUGUUCUGCAUUUGGUUCAACUUAUUGCAAGCUUUGAAACGAUAUAUUAUACAUUCAAAAUGGAACGGAUAUCUGUAUCCUAAGUUAUGACCUUCGGAAGAUACCCUACUCAUUCUAUGCAACCAUCCUACGUCAACUUGCCUUUGCUAUGUAUCUUCGAGCAACUUGAAUGGCUUGAAGAUUUGUGGUAAGCUUUUUCACUUCUUGUUGGAGAAUAGUCACAAACCUCACCUGUUGUUUCACUUAUUCAUAAGCAGCAAAGGAGUUCAGUUGCCCAAGAAGAAGGGAAGCGAUCGCAUCCGCCAUUCUGACAAGGAAAAGGAGAAAUAAUUUGAUAAGAUGUUAAGUGUGCUUUUGUUAAGAAAAUACCAAAUCAAAGGAGCAGUUGCAUUCUUCUUACAUUGCAUGAAAAAAGUUAAUAGUUAUCCUCCCCCACCCCACACAUCCAUAAUUUUACCAUCUUUAAUUUUUAUGAUUCUACUCCACAACUAUGGUACAUAAUUGUAAAUAUUCUAAAAUUAAUUUGUACUGGUCGGGCCAGUGCCAUGUAAAACAAAAACAAAAACUCAAAAGAAAAAAAAAAGAAGAAAACAAAAGUUGUAAAAAGCAUGCCUCACGGAUAAUUUACUUAUAGUUAAAUUUCGUCCCACACCCUUAUUAGAUUGAAAUACUUUAAUUUACCCUCCAAAAGUAUAAAAACUUCAUUUUACCUGCCAAAUGCCAUUAUUUUUAAUAGUUAACUAAUGUUGACUUGAAAAAUACGAGAAUGCCCCUGACCCUAACUAAUUAACAGUUCAUUGAGUUAACAAGAAUAAUUUUAUUUUGCCCCUUAAGGUCUAUUAUAUUUCAAGUUAGACUACAAAAAAAAUUAUUAAUAAAAACUCCCUAUAGAAAAAAAAAAGUAAAAAAACCAUUAAAAGAUUAAUUUAACUUUUACUUAUAUCUUAAUCUAUAAAACAAGUAUGAUAAUCACAAAUUUAUGUUAUGAUAUCACCACAAUGAAAAUUUAAAAAAUAAUUUUGACCCUUCUCUUGAAUUUAAAUAUCUUAGGAAUAUCAAUAUUUAAUUAAUUAGUUGACUUUUACCAUUCAAAAUACCAUUUUACCUUUCAAAGUAUCUAAAAGACAAAUUAACGCACAAAAUUUAUUGACAUUCCAUUAAUAAUGUAAUUUGACGGGUUAAAAAUUAAAAAAAUAUAUAAAAUUUAGAGAAAUUCAAAGACUGAAGCCUUAACCCCUACUUAUAAUCCCAAAUUUUUAUCAGUUUCUUUCUUAUUAAUAUCAUUUGCUAUAAUUUUAAUCUUAUUUUUUUUAAUAAUAAUUCUUUUUAUUGAAAGCCAUUUUAGUAUUUUUUUUCCCCAAACAUCAAACUAAGGGGUAAAAUAGUAAAAUAAUUCAUAAUUUAUAAUAUUUCAGUAUAUCCAAUAUAUAUCAUUUUCAUAGAAUAAUAUUUAUCAUUUUUUUAGUAUUCUUAGGAAUCUUGAAUAGUAACACCUUUUUUUUUUUGGUGUGGACCAUGAAGUAUUCUGGGGAGAGCCCCAACUGUGGAAGGCACCUUUAAGCCCGUACUACAACCCAGACUAACAAUCCCCGCUCAAACCGGGAGACACAGGUUCUCCCAACAAAUGCGACUUCCCUGCGACUAAUAGUAACUCCUUUUUAAUUUAUGAUUAAAAUGUUAAAAAACAAAAAAGUUAUAAUCUUUUAAAAUUUGAAACGAGUUAUUGCAAAAUAAUAAUAAUAAUAAUAAUAAUUUUAUUCCUUAGUUGAGCUUUGAAAUAUAAUAAAUUACCAACAAUGGCAUCCACUACAAUUUAUCCUUAAUUAAAAUUUAAAAUUGCAAUCCAUUUUUUUGUUUUCCAAAUUAUUUUUUCUUUUAUUCUUGGUCUUCUUUAGUUUCCUUAUUUCUUUGUCUUGUACUCUUUUUUUUUUUUUAACCUCUGUUCCAUAUUUGAGGCUUUAUCUUAAUUCUUUGCAUUAAUUCUAUCAAGACUAUCCUUGAUAAUUCUAUUACGGUACAACUCAAAUUUCUACCAUCACAUAAUAUUAGAGAUAUAUAUUAUAUUCUUAUUAAUCAGAAGAUAAUUUUACUCCUAUCCAGUUUAAUUAAGAGGAAAAUCGAGAGAAAUAUCUACUUUAUUCUUGUUAAUAAAGAAAUAAUUUUAUCCCUAUCUAAUUUAAUUGAAAAGAAAAUUGACAAUAACCUAUGCACUCAAGCCAACUUUAAGUGCUUGGAUGCAUGGGUUGUAAUGUUUUUUAUUUAAAGGCUCAGGCUAGAACCAACUAAUAUCAGCCGUGUGAUUUUAAUCACUCAAUCCAACCGUCACGAUUACACUCAGUGGAUAAACAUUCCACAUAGUCCACAAACAUGAAGAGUAAAGGAUUGAUUGCAUAUGUAUCCUCUCAAGUUCUCAAGAACUUUUUCUUUAAAACACACUUUUAAAGCUAAUCUGCAGAUCUCUCCGAAAACUUUUCCUCUUCUAACUCCUCAUCUCUUCCUCACCAAAUCUUCGGAGGCAAAAAUCUUUCUUGCCUUCUCCAGUGGAUUCUUGAUUUCUUUUUUUCUUUUUUUUUUUCGGUUGCACCCACCUCUUCCUUAUGAUUUGAGGAUGUGUGUCUUGUUCUGGCCUUCUUCACCUUAAGGUGGUUGUUCUAUUUCAAUUUUCUCCUCCUUUGGUUUUGAGGAUGGCUGCUAUGCGUCCAUUCAGAUCUUGAUCUGUGAUGGUAAUAAUGUACCAGUUAUAGUGAUAAUUUUGGUUUAAUUUCUAUUUUCCAGUACAUAACCCUUCAACAUCUCUGUCAAAUGCAAUGAACCGAUCACAACCAUUCAUAAUUAACCCAAAAAAAAAAAAAAAAAAACACAGAGAACAAUCACAACGACGAUUUGUUUUGAUCAUCCCUGCUUUUUCUUAGCAUAGCUCUUGGAAUGAAAAUUAAUAAAAAGUGUCAAAAGGGAAGCAUUAAACACAGCAUUGAAGCACCAACCCAAGAUCCCAGAGCAUCCAAAUCCCGCAAAAUGAUAAUACAGCAUCAAAACUGAAACAACAAAACUAAACACGAACUGAACAAUCUGACAGUCAGUGACCAAUCUCUUCCACUUUGGCCGCAACCCCAUCACACACAAUAGAUAGUACCCGUACAUGAUCACGUGCACACUUGCAUUGGUGACAAGUGCGAUAGGAAACAAAGACUGCUUCGUCUGUAACCAAAGGUAGCACAUUACGACGACGGUUGCGUGGUGGUAGACGUGGAGGAACGUGAGCCGUUCGAUGGAGUUUGACAAAAUGAUCAAAAGGGUGUCUAGGAAUUCGAGUAUUUUGGAGAGGUAGAAGAUGUAAGCGUAGAAGAAGAGGGGACCGGAGGGAGAGAUGGUGGGGGGGAAACAGAGGGUGUGACGGAGGUCGGGUGAAUGGAGGACGAUGGAGAGAGUGCAACCAACGGCCAUGACGAGGGAGAGGAGGAGGAGGGUGAGGUUAUGGACGGCUGUGAUGGGCUUGAGGAUGUGGGGUCCAAUGAGAGGUGAUGAUGAUGGUGAUGUUGGCGUUAAUUUGUGGUAGAGUAUGAAUGUGAGGGAGAGGUAAGUGAGGAUGGAGAGAAUGAGGAAGUGUGGGGAGGAAGCUGGGGUUUGGUUUUGAGUCCAUGUGAAGUUGAGGAUUUGGGGGUGGUUUACAAGCCAAUAUUGGAGUGUUGAGGUGAUUGAAUUUGAAGCCAUGGCUGGUUUUUUGGAGGAGGAAAGAUUUGGAAGAGAUGAUGUUGAGAGGAGUGGGGGAGUUUAGAAAGUUUGGGAUAAUGUGAGGGGUAUUUUGGGCAUAUAAUGUUGUCUGAGCUUAAAUUUUUGUUAAAAAGAAAUAAUAAUAAUAAUAAAUUCUUUUCUCAUGUCAAUUUAAAACUCCGAGUGUGUUUCCAACAAUUGCUUUUCUUUUUCUAUUUUGGGAUUUUGAAUCAUUUUUUUUUCAAUUCAAUAAUGGCCUCUUCAAUUAUAAAAUAUGGUCAAAGGGGAUGGGGUGUAGUGUCUAGGCCUCCGCGACAACGGCAUCUUUGAACGUGGGUUUCAUCAGUUUUUUUUUUUUUGGCUAUUUCUGCUCAAAUCAAACUUGUGGAUUUCGUGCACUCAACGUGGAACCCUUUUGAAUGGACGCAAUGGUUUUGGUGGGAUCACACAAUCCGAAGAAGCAUGGAACUGGGACCAAUUUGUUGACAAAAAUUUAGGCAUAAAAUUUACAAAUCGAAGUCAGAGUAAGAUUUAAGUAAAAUUGAGUAACAUCUUGCACAUCGAGUAAGGAUUUCUACAAUCGGGCUAGAAAGUGCAACUAAAAUUUGGUAAGAGUUUCAUAGAGCAUAAUUUUUAAGAUACAACGUUAAGAGUAUUUAGUAGACACUUAUAAUAUUACUUGAAUUGAUUUAAUCUCAUACUCUAAUAUAAAAAAUUUAAAAUAUACUCUUAUAAUAUUACUUGAAUUGAUUUAAUCUCAUACUCUAAUAUAAAAAAAUUUAAAAUUUCUUUACUAAUUUUAUUGAAAGUAUUAUUUGACAAUCCUAUUUAUUACAUAAUAUCAACGUUUAUAUUAUAAUUACCGCUAAUACUAAAAGCUGAUCUCGUAAUUAAAAGCUAAACAAAAACUCGAGUACAAUCUAGUAAUUAAAAGCGCUAUGGUUUUUUGGCAUUACAAGAUGAUUCAAACUUGAACUUGCCAUCAAAAGUGUAUCAAAACAAUCACAGAGACACUCUGUUUGACAAAUCUGCAGUAGAAUUUGCACAAUUUAACUGGGUUACAGAGAGUGAAUAAGAUUCCAAAGCAACAGGCCAUUAUUAUUAAGAAAACAAUUCAUCGCUAGAACAAAAUUAACUUUUCUAACUUACUAGAAUUUAACUGGAGAAAAAUUGGAAUAUACGAAGUUGUAUCACAUAUAGUAUUUAGACAUCAAGAAAAGAAUCCCUCUAUCAGUGAACUAUACUUGCCAGGAAACACGGUGAAAUACCACCACCUCCCUACUAGUUCUUAGAUGUCUCAAAAGAGUUUGAUGACGACUUCCGUGUUGUAUCUCUUCGACAGGCAGCAAAAUUGGGCUAUUGACUAGAUUAACUCCCCAGAAAUUUAUGCGGUCACCUUCUUCCGGACUAUCCUCUUUCUUCGCACUUUAGGAGCCCUUGCUUCCCCUUCAACAGAGUCGACAUUCCCUUGUUUGAUGCCAAGGAGCCCAAGCCCAGAGACAAUGGCAUUCUUUGAUAUCAACCACUUUGGGGACUUUUGAGUUGAGCCAUUGACAUCCUGAGACGGCCUGUUGUAAGCCUUCUUCAAAAGGUCAUCUGACUGAAGUAGCGGAUCCGCUUCCACUCCUAACCAAGCAAGCCUUGAUCUUUCUCCUAAUUGGACAUUAAGAACCCUGCAUGGAAUCCAUUUGAGAAGUUGAACAAUAGACAAAGUCCAACACAUAUAGGCAGUAAAGAAUAAUUUGGACAACAAUUACUGAUUGUUUACGCACAGGGCUGAACAAAUGGGAAUAUUAAGGCACAUAAAAAUUGGAACCAUAUUCACCACUUGUACUUCCUUAGAGAAUUAUCUCAGAGUUCUGUUAAUUUAAAACCAUUCUUACACAUUUAACUGUAAAACUAGAGAAAUUGUACUUCUGUAGCGAAGUCUCACUAUUGUUAAGGAUUUGGACUUGGAGAGAAUGCAAGUUGAUUAAGCAAAGAAAAAUUGAAAUAAUAAUUGGUGAUAGAUCUAACACACUUCAAUAGAAACCACACUAACAUCAUAUCAGGCAAAUAAACAGAUUCCCCAGUCAAAAGUUUAACAAACAAAACAUUAAAACAAUAGUAAUUUGGUCCGACCAGAAUAGUCUAUCAAUGUAUAUAGAGAUGUAGAUCAAUAAACAAAUACGUAAAAGAGAGAGAGGGAGAGACCUCAAAGCAGUGCUUAAGAACAGUGCUACUCCAAUAACAUCAAAAUGGUUGAUGACCGCUCUAUCAAAUCCACACAAUAGCUGGUAUCUCAUGUUUGCACAUAGUCCAAGGAAAGCACCAUAACCAAGCGCAUUAGUACUCACAGAUGGGAUUGUCACAGAUAACCUGUCAGACAUUAAAGGUGGCCCAAAUUUAACAAAUGUUAAACUAGCUUAGACAGUAAACAGAACAAUUUUCUAAGUUUUCUUUAUUUGUGAUGAAUAAGUGAACGAGGAAUGAAAAGGAAGUUUUACAACCAUGUUUACCUGUCCUUUUUACCAGCAAGAUAGUUUGACAAAGAGCCUUGCACUGCUCCUGCAGUUAAUCCCACCAUACACAACUCUGCAGCCUUGUAAAAAAGGGAAUGGAUUCUCUUUUGCAAGUCAAAUUCUCGAAAUGGGCAACUCCGUUCUAAUAUAUUGUUUGGGAACGACAAGGAGCAAACAUUUAUUAGCUUAAUAUAUAAAAUAAAAAUAAAAAGCAAGUUCCUUUGUUGUGAAAAGAAAAAUAAAAACACGCCUAUCCUUACGAUUCUCCAGCUCCCACCAAACAGUGCAACCAAUUAUGGGAGCCUGCUCUACCAGAAGUUUAUACAAAAAAGCUGGAUCUGCCAGCAUCCUGGGGCAACAGCAGUUAAUACAUAAGAAAUCUGAAAAGAGGCCCAACAUUUUACAACCAAUCAAAAAUCACUGAACCAUUGGAAAGUGAUUUACGUAUAAUUUUUUUUCCAAACUUUGUCCAAAAUGAUAGAAUGAGAGAGGAUGAGAUAGGAUGACACAAGAAACAAAUGUAAAUUGACCGUGUUGGAGAAAAAUCAGUUUUUUAUACAAACUUUUAGGGCCGAUCUCAUACAAUAUAUAGGAAUACGGAAUCUAGAAAUCGUACCUUGAAAAUCUGAGAAGAUGAACAAUCUUUGCUUUUUCCGCUGAAGUGAUUUAGGCUCUCAGAUCACGAUCUGUUACCACCACUCCUGUUAGAUCACGAUCCGUCACCACCACGCCUAUUAGAUCACGAUCCAUCACCACUGAUCUUAUAGACUAUGACUCAGGUUUGAUCCGCACUUGACGUGUGGACGCCUUUAUCACCACUAUAAGCAACUAGAGAGAAAAAUUUUCUCUCAAAAUUAGAGAGAAAAAGUCUUUUUCUCUAAUAUGUAUAAUGUGGCUGCUCUGUCUCUUUUGGGAGAAAAUAAACCUUUUUAUAUCUCUAUUUAGUGGAAACCCUAUGCUCCAUAUUUAUUUAUUUAUUAAUUCUAUUAAAUCCCAUUUGAUUUAAAUUAAAAAAUAAUUAAAACAAAAGUGACGUUACUUGUUUUUGUGUUCUAGGGGCCCGCCUUGUAAAAUAACACAAGGCCCCUUACACACAGGCAUAUUACACUCCCACUAAAUAAUUUAUUUAGGCUUUUAACUCAAAUAGCUAGUUAUCUUGCUUAUUAAUCCAGUAGCAGCGUGGUCAAUUAAACAAGCUAACCCGGGGAUUAUAUGGGUACAUACAAUAGUGGCUACAAUAAUUAGACCUGUAAUUAAACUAGUCCAAUUAUUUAAUUCCAAAUCUACUCCACUAAAAUAUUGGAAUUGACCUCCAUAAUUGUAUGCUAUCUAGGAUAGUGUACUCGAAUAAUAAUUCGACCUAUGCCACAUUGAUUUCUUUACUGCAUAAUCAUUUGUACCACAUCAUUAAUUAAAUCAAUAUCUCAACUGUCCAAUCGAUUUAAUUACAUCUUGUUCCUUGAUACUUACUGGUUUUCUCUAAUGAUCAUUUUCAAACAUACUAAAUAUGUUGACACACUCUGGCCAGAGAAUUCUAUGAUCAAGUGCCGAAAACCCAUCAAGAAUUCUAUAUUGUUAAUUUAUAACUUCAAUACUCAUAAUUACUCCCACCAAGAUACCGGGUAAUCUUAACCACAAGUGUGUGUCGUGCCCAUUGGUAACUCAAAUGGAAUAACAAUUACAAUCAUGAAAUCAUAACUAACUCAAGAUUAAGAUUACAGUAAAAUCAAUGCCUAUGAGAUUUAAUAAGUCUGACAGUCAUUUCAAGGUUAAUUAAAUCUCAUAUGUGAUCCAGCUCAAUGUAGUCAAACUACGUCAGUAAAUUCAUAUAUGAUUAAGACAAGCCAUUCAAUGAAUUUACUACAGUCUAAACAUAAAUAGAACACCCAACUCUAUUUAUCAACUGCGAACUAAAUUUAUUUAAUCAUAAGAUAACUUGUAUUUAUGUCUUCUGUGAAUCCAUAUGAUGAUCACAUAAAUACAUAUAAUAUGAUUAAACAGACCUUAUUCGAUAUAUAUUUAUGCAAUUGAAAAUAUCUUAAAUAUUUUAUUAAUCAAAAAAUAAAUUAAUAUACUUUAAAAGAGCAUAUAAUCCCAACAGACAGCAAGUAGAAAUAUACUUCUGUUAUAUUUGCAACAUCUUCUAGUGUCAAUUUCUUUUCCUUGAGCUCUGUUUCUGCGUGUGCUCAAAUGCAACGCGCAUGACACAAGAUAUAAUUAUCAACAUGAAUUUUUGCCGCCACAUGCAGCACUUGGAAAACUGUUUAUGGUCAUACAGAACUGGAAAAUAAAAAAUCAUUAACAGCGAGAGAAAUCAUUUUAAUCGCAACCAAACAUACACACUAUGAAAAUCUAAAAUUGAAUUUCUCCCAAUGAAUGUGCCUCUUCACAGCAAUUUCACAAGCUAAUCCCAGCAGCCUGCGUCAUGGAGUUUCUCCCAAUGCGUGAGCGAGCCUUGAAUAGUGGCUCAAACUAAAAUGAACUUAUUGUGGACAUUUGAAUUAAAAAUACAUGUAAAAGCAGUUUUCUCAAAGCAAGGUCAAGAUAAGAGAUUAACUUUGCUCCUUAUUUACAUUAAAAAUAACAAACAAUGAAAAACAGAGCUAGAGACGAACUUACCUGUGUGCUGAGACAGAGCUAGAGGGGAAUAUGGGAUAUCUUCUUAGAUUUGGUUUGAGAAACUCCAUCUUCUUCUGAAAGUUCUGAUAGUUCCCUUAACCCAGGCCAAUACAAUUGCAACAGAAACUGCAUGCUUUAAGCAGCAUCUGAUCAUCUCUUGUUAUUUCAAGACAAUAAUAACUUAAUUGCAACACUGUGUGCUUCAACCAUUAACCUUUUCAAUUUCAACACUUCUUUUGUCCCCCGCCCGAUGCCCUUUUAACAAUUCUAUGAAUCAGAUAAAUCAGCCUUCUUCACAAAACUAUGACAAACUUUUCACGGUGUUCCACACAUUCCGGGAUCCGUAUUGAUAACAAACAUUUGAUGAAGACCCUGCCAAUUAAAAUUUAGGUCACAUGUAACAUAAUUUCUUAUUUUUCUUUUGUACACAAAUGCAGACACUUAAGCAAAUUAAGAUUUCAUACCUAAAGCAAAUUAGGAUUCUUUUGACCCUGCAAGUUACAAUUUCACUCCCCAUGUAAUAGUAAAAAUUUGUACACAUAUUUAUAGCAAAUUAAUAUUUCAUACCUCACAAUAUUUAUCAUAACCAUCAAUCUUUAGAAACCACAUGCAGACUUGUUAAACUGUUUAUGGCGCAAAAUAACAGGGAAAUUAGAACAGAUUUUUAAGAAUGAGCGACUAAAUAUUUCAAUGGCAACUAAAAUUACACAUCUUGGAAAUCUGAAACUCAAGUACUCAGAAUGAAUGUGCCUCUUCACAACAAUUAAACAAGCUGGGAACUUUAGUGCAAAUGCUUUUUCAUAAUCUUCAAUUGCAUAAGUCAGUUAGAAUCAAUCUUUCUUAAUCUUUCAAUUCACAUAUGACAGCCUGAUAACACAAGGAAACACUAUUAGUGAAUUGUCAACUGCGACAAAUUUUGGGUAAAAAAUAUCAACUGUAGUUAUCUGCAUAACAUAUAGUGUCAACACCAAAUUCCUUCUUGAUCCGUGGAAGCAUUUCAGCCCACAGACGGUUUGCUUUGUCAAUAUAUAUCAAGCUUUGUAGCUUUUAAGAAAUUGCAGGUGAAAGACUUGGAAUUUUCGAUAGCAACUCAGGAUUCUAUAUUUAAACGAUGGUGUUUGAUGACUUGCUGAUACAAAAGACAUUGCCCCAAGCACUUUUUUACAGGAGCUAAAAUCAAGCCAGUCACUUCCAUUUGUUGCAGUUUUAAUGCAGAAAGAAAAAAAGGGGGGGGGGGAAUCUGCAAGAUAACACUUGUAGUACCGCAUGUUCGCAGAAGCAGAGUUAAAUAUGCUUAAUUUCUCACUCACUCCAAGAACUUUCAUUCUCCCAUAAUUCACUCAAAUGAAACUUUCAUUGGAAGGUCCAAUUAUUAAGGAUUUAGCAUCACUUCAUAUGCUCAACAAUUCAAAUUUAAGGAUGUUAUUUCACAAAAUGGAGGACUCUAUUUGGCUUGUGAACAAUCUUCCUCACCAUCAUCAUCAUUGUCGUACCAGUUGCACUGAACAAUCCUCAUUCUGACAUUUGCCCCAAUUAUCUGAUUACACAAGAAUCCGAAACAACUGUUAGAAAUUUUAAUCUUGAUAUAUAGCCAAAAUGGUGAAUAAGAUGAUGUACUUGAUAAUAAAAACUUGAUUUAAUAAAUAAUUAAGGGGCCGAUAACAAGCACAGAAUCUCAUCGUGUGGGGAAAGCCUUGACAACAGAAGAUGGUGCUUUCAUUCAAGCCGAUAACAAGCCACUAUAUAUGCAGUUAUCAUCUUCAAUUUGCUCAUCUUUGUCUACAGUAUUGCUUCUGCGUUAACUUAAUUAGCGUGCAAGCCACCUGAAAAUGGUUUUAAAUACUGAGAAAAAGUUUGAAUUCGAACAAGUUAAUCAAAUAUGAUGACAGAAAACACAAAAGUAAAAUAACCAAAAGAAGUAGAAAUAUACUUUUGUUAGAUUUAGAGCAUAAUUCUUCUGUCAAGUUCAUUUCCAUUAGCCUUGUUUCUGUGAGUGCUCAAAUGCAAUUCCUCAACGCUCAAGAUAGUUUCCGCGGACCUGAAAAACUAGUUGUGGCCAUAAGGAACUUCAAAAUUAGAAAAGAUUCAGAAUGAGUGACUAAAUAUUUUAAUCAAAACUAUUUAAACAUACACUAAUAUACCUCUACGCAACCAAGGAUGUAUCGGAUUAAACUUGCACUCUUCGAGUGAGUGUUGACUCCAAAAAUAGAAAGAUCAGAGAUGAAUAUUAAGAAUGGAAAGACAGGUUGUGAAAGAGAGAAGAGCCAAGAGAAAUAGAAAGAGAUAUUUUAUUUCUUCAUACCCCACACGAAUUCGUUCUGCUCUACAUAUAUUCCUCUGUCUAAGACGUUAGCAAAAAUAUUACAGCUCAACAACUUCUAACAGAAAAUAUGACAAUAAAAACAAACCAGCAAUCAUAAGGUACUAGCAAUUUCAUUACACGACAUAAUCCUUAAACCACCCAAGGGCUCUUCUAACUCGUUUGCUUGCGUACCGUUCCUCAUGAGCUAAUUCUUCCUCAACCUGUGAUGUGGCUUCCUUCAUGGGCUGUUCAUAAUUGGACUCGUUGUUGGGCUGCCAUUCUUGUAAGUAAUCUGGUUGAUCCGAAUGAAUGUGGAAGGUUGUAUCAUUCCCUCCAUCUUCAAAACUCACCUUGUCCUCAAGGUGAAAAUCGGGAUAAAGUUUACAGAAUGUUUCAAACUCUUCCCAAGUAGAAUUCUCAGGGGAAUUGUCUUGCCACUGGACCAGAACUUGACAGCAUUGCUUUCCUUGGUUAAGCACGGUUCGAAUAGCACAAACUGGAGCAGGUAAAUAUAAUGGCUAAUUAUGCAUACUUGUUGAUGGCAAGGAAUGGGAAGCAGGGUUUUGAGAAUCAAGGAAGGGUUUGAGAAGUGAAAUAUGAAACACUAGGUGGAUCUUAGAACCCCUGGGCAAGUCAAGUUUAUAAGCUCCUGGACCAACUCGAGCUAGCUCAUGGAAAGGGCCAUAAUACCGUUUAGCUAGCUUUUGACAAGAACGAGUUGCCACUGUAUUUUGGCAGUAUGGCUGAAGCUUCACUAGAACUUGGUCCCCAACAGCAAACUGAGCUUCAUGUCUAUGAGCAUUAGCUUUUUGAAUCAUGCGAUGUUGAGCUUGGCGUAAAUUCUCUUUCAAAGAACGGAGUAAUGCAUCCCGUUCACUUAAUGCUUCAUCAAGAGCUUGGAUUGAAGUAGAGCCCUUUGAGUAAGGAGGGAUGGAAGGAGGUGGUCGCCCAAAAAGAGCCUGAAAGGGAGACAUCUUGAUGCUGCUGUGAUAGGAAGAAUUGUAAGAAAAUUCAGCCCACCCAAGUAGAGAUGCCCAUGAGCUUGGUUUUUCUUGAGUGAAAGCGCGAAGAUACUGCUCCAAGCCACGAUUGACUACCUCCGAUUGCCCAUUUGUUUGUGGGUGAUAGGCUGUACUGUGACGAAGGGUAGUGCCACUUAACUCAAAUAACUUCUUCUGAAAAUUGCUUAAGAACAUAGGGUCGCGAUCAGAAAUAAUAGAGGUAGGAAACCCAUGAAUUUUUAUAACCAUAUCCAUGAAUAAUUCGGCUGUCUUUACAGCAGUAAAUUAAGUGGGAAGGGAUCCGAAGUGUGCCGAUUUAGUAAGGCGAUCAACAACUACCAAUAUCACUGAAAAACCUCGCGAAACGGGAAGGCCAGUAAUGAAGUCCAUAGUGAGUUCGUCCCAAACUAAAGUAGGGAUAAGAAGAGGUUGCAGUGGACCCGCUGGUGCUUGAGUAGAGUAUUUGGUCUGUUGACACACAAGACAUUCGGCUACAAACCGCUCAACAUCCAUACACAUUUUAGGCUAGAAAAAAGUAAAUGCUAAGCGGACCAGCGUGCGUUUGAUGCCUACAUGCCCCGCAAGUGGAGUAGAGUGGAAUUCAGCCAAUAGAACUUCUUUCAAAGAUGAUGAUGAGUUGAUAUAAUAGCAAUUGCGGUAAAAAAGAAAUCCAUUAUAUAGCGAAUAAUCCCUUGAAAGAGUUCCCGCAGCAAAUUGUUGAUGAAGGGCAAUCAUAUCCGAGAGAGUGGAAUUUUCUAAGUUUAGAGUUGCUAACAACUCAAACAAAGGACGACUAAGAAGAGGCAAACAAGAAGCAGUCACGGUUGAUGUGUCCGCACCAGCUUCCUCAUGAACUCGUGAUAAAGCAUCGGCUGCAAGAUUGGUACAGCCCGGUUUAUAUUCAAUGCGGAAGUGAUAGCCUAAUAAUUUUCUGAUGUAGAUUUGCUGAUCUGGAGUUUGAACUACCUGCUGUAGAAGUUCUUUAAUGCUUUUAUGGUCAGUUCGGAUGACAAAAAAUCUGCCCAAUAAGUAUUGUCGCCACUUGUGCACUGCCUCAACAAUAGCAGUUAAUUCCUUGAUGUAGGUAGAAGAAGCACGAAGUCGAGGGCCUAAUUUCUUAUUGAAGUAAGAUAUGGGGUGCCCGGAUUGCAUAAGCACAGCCCCUAUACCCACAUUAGAUGCAUCAGUUUCAAGGAUAAAGUCAGCAUCAAAAUCUGGUAGCCGUAGCACAGGGGCUUCCACCAUUGCCUUCUUAAGAGCGUCAAACGCUUCAGCUGCUGUUUGUGUCCACUGGAAGGCAUCUUUACAAAGUAAAUCAGUAAGGGGGGCUGCUAAAGACGCAUAUCCAUGAAUAAAUCACCGGUAAUAACCCGUUAAACCCAAAAAACCUCGAAGUUGUUUUGUAGUCUGAGGAGUCUGCCAAUAAACCAUAGCUUCAAUUUUCUAAGGGUCUGCCCGCACACCAGAGGCCGAAACAAUGUGGCCCAAGUAAUCAAUCUUUUCUUGGCAAAACAAGCAUUUGGAGAGCUUGACAAAGAACUGGUGAAAAUGAAGGCACACCAAUACUUGUUGAAGAUGCCACAACUGGUCCUCUGCUGUAGCACUGUAAACCAAAAUGUCAUAAAAAAAAACAAUCACGAAUUUACACAAAAAAGAAGCGAAAAUCUAGUUCAUAGUAGCUUGGAAGGUAGAAGGUGCGUUUGUUAAACCAAAUGGCAUGACAAGGAACUCGUAGUGGCCCUCAUGAGUGCGAAAGGCCGUUUUAUAAAUGUCGCGGUGGUGCACGUGAAUUUGAUGGUAACCAGCCUGUAAAUCCAACUUGCUGAAAACUGCUGCCCCGCCUAACUCAUCAAAUAAUUCGUCGAUAGUCGAAAUGGGAAAUUUAUCUUUGAUUGUCACGGCAUUUAAAGCUCUGUAAUCAACACAGAAGUGAUAAGUUCCAUCUUUUUUUUUAACCAACAAGACCGGUGGCGAAAAUGGACUAUGACUCGCUUGAAUGAUGCCUUGUUCUAACAUUUAACGGACAAGUUUUUCCAUCUCAUUUUUUUUUUGGAAAUAAGGGUAGCGAUAAGCGUGGACAUUUAUUGGAGUGGUAUUUGGGAGGAGAUGGAUUUUAUGAUCAAUUGUGCGAUGCGGCGGCAGUGUAGUAGGUGGAAAAAAUAAGUUGCGGUAGCUGUGUAGGAGGUCGAUGAAGGGUUAAGUUAAAUUUGCACGUAAUUCGAAGGAAGAACUCUCUGGAUUACUUGCCGAUUCCUCCCCAAAUGCAGGUACCUAUUGCAGAGCAAACACGCUAUAAAUAUCCGCAUGGUGGACUAAAGAUUGCAACUGAUUAAAGGUGAUUAGGGAGGGAGUAGUGGCUAAAUCGCCUCGAAGAGUCACUGGUGCCCCAUUCCAACAAAAUUCCAUAGAUAGGGCAGAGUAAUCAUGCGAGACACGGCCCAAGAGUUGCAGCCAUUGGAUUCCCAGCACCACAUCAGGCCCUUCAAUUGGCAGAACAAAGAGAUCUAAGGUGAACACAGUCCCCUGCAACGUGAGAGCAACUUGAGGGCAAAAGUAUUUGCACACCAAAAAAUCCCCAUUGCCAAUAUAAACACGGAAGGGUGCUGUUGGUUGUAUCGGUAAGCCCAUACUCUCUGCCAUUGUUAGUUUGAUAAAGUUAUGGGUACUCCCACUAUCGAUCAACACUUGAAAACUGUGAGAACCAACUUCACCAAUCAAAUGGAGUGAGCAGGGAUUGAUCUGACCCGCCAAAGCAUUCAAACUGGAAAUAUCCCCUGUUAUGACCUCUUCAACCGACUCUGGUGGCAACUCUUGCUCAAAAGAAGUAGGUUCAUUAUCAUCCGUACCUAUAAGGAGCAAAAAGUUACUGCGACAGUGAUGAUUAGCGCUAUAUUUCUGAUCACAGUUAUAACACAAGCCUUUUUCACGCUUGUCACGGAGCUCCGCUGGAGUGAGGCGACGAAUUGGUAAGUUGGGUGUGGGAAGAAAUGGUGGUAACGUGUUUAGUUUAGGGGGUGGAGGAGUAUUUUGUGAAUGAGAUGGUACGUGGACCAUACCAACUGAAUGAUUCGGUUGUGUUGAAGCAAGAGGAUACAGUUGAGGCUGAAAUUUGUGUGACGGGGAGUUUGUGGUAGGUGUGGGUGCUGUGUUGUUCCAUUUUGUCAAAAAGCGGUGUCCUUGUUUGGCCUCUUUAGCACGUGCUUCAUAGGCCCGAGCUAAUGCAAAUGCUUCAAUCAGAGAAGAGGGCCGAGCAAAAAGCAACUCACGACGAAUAUUGGGUUUCAAUCCCGUGAUAAAAAAACUUAUCAGAAGUGGCUCGGAGAUUCUAGUCACUCGAUUCAUUAAAUCUUCAAAGGCGGUCUGAAAUUCAGUCACCGUUGUAGUUUGGGAUAACUUGGAUAAAUUUCCUUGAGGAUCUUCAUAGAGAGAGGCACUAAAACGAUGUUUAAGAUUCUGUAAAAAUGCUUUCCAGGUUGUAAGCAAAUUAUUCAUCUUCAUUCAUUGAUACCACGCUGCUGCUCAUCCUUCCAUAUGAAAAGAAACAAUCCACAAUUGAAGAGUUUCUGGUGUACCAUGAAAAUCAAAGAACUCCUCAAUUCGGAAAACCCACCCGUUUGGGUCAGAUCCAUCAAACUUAGGAACCUCCAUCUUCAUAGAACGGAGCACUGGGGAUAUCUCAACACCACUGGAAUUUGCCUCAGUAGAAGAAGAUAUUGGGUGUGGUUGAUUAGGAGCUCGACCCGUGUUAUUUGAAGACCCCUGGAUCUGUGAACGCAAAUCGUCAAGGCGAGAAUCUACUGUUGCCAUAUAUUGUUGCAGCGUUUGAUGCAACGACAAUGUUUGGCUCUCGAACUAUUCUUGAAUUGUUUUUAACAGUUCAGAGUCCGUCAUGAUGAUAGCAAUGAACAAUGAAAGCACCAAUGAUACACCUCUACGCAACUAAGGAUCUAUCGGAUUAAACUUGCACUCUUCGAGUGAGUGUUGACUCCAAAAAUAUAAAGAUCAGAGAUAAAUAUUAAGAAUGGAAAGACAGGUUGUGAAAGAGAGAAGAGCCAAGAGAAAUAGAAAGAGAUAUUUUAUUUCUUCAUACCCCACACGAAUUCGUUUUGCUCUACAUAUAUUCCUCUAUCUAAGACGUUAGCAAAAAUAUUACAGCUCAGCAACUUCUAACAGAAAAUAUGACAACAAAAACAAACCAGCAAUCAUAAGGUACUAGCAAUUUCAUUACACGACAUAAUCCUUAAACCACCCAGGGGCUCUUCUAACUCGUGUGCUUGCGUACCGUUCCUCAUGAGCUGAUUCUUCCUCAACCUAUGAUGUGGCUUUCUUCAUGGGCUGUUCAUAAUUGGACUCUGUUAGAGUGCAAUUUAUGCACUAGUUUUGCAUUGUUUACUUCCCUUAAUAUCGAUGUUUUGCACUUAAUAAUAAUGAUUUACUUGUGUUUUACUUUUGUAGGUGCAAUUCUAUUGAUUCGUGAUAAAAUUGAGUUAUAAGAUGAUGUUUAAAGAUGAUUGUUCUCUUGGAGAAAUUAAGAGAGUCAGAAGAACUUUAUUGAUAAGGCAUGGGCGCGUGCUAUCAACUGCGGACCUGCGGCUUUUAGUUUAACGUGUUUUGUAUUUUUGGCUAUUUUUGUAAUUACGAAUUUAAUAUUUAAGAUAUUAGUAUUUUAUUUUAAAUAGAACUCUAAAAGAGAAGAGAGAGAGAGAUUUUAAGGAGGAAUCUAUUGUGAAAGAGGGGGAUUUUUGGAUUGGAGAAAAAGAAACCCUAGAUCUAAUUUUUCUCUUCUCUCUAUGAGGAACUAAACCCAUUUUUCUGGUUGAAGGUUAAUGAAGCUUUGAUUCAUCACUACUGUGAGAUCUUUCUUGUGCUUUAAUUGUUUUAUUACUUUUUGGGUAUUUGUUUAUUCUCUAAAUUAUUUUCAUGAUUAUGUUUGUUAAUUAGGUAAUUGGCCACUAUUUAAUUAUCAACUUAAUCUAUUGUCAAUUAAAGGAUUCAUCGUAUGAAGAAUUUGAUGUUUGUGACAAAUAACAUAGCAGAGAGUUGUGUUGUGAGAAUAAACAAUCUAAUUUAAAUGAAUCAUCAUAUGUGUUGAUUAGGAUUUGGGUCUCUCUGGUUUCUUAGGCUGUCAAUUGAUUAAAUUCUAUGAUCGUAUCUAGGGUUGUCUAUUGAUUAGGGAAAUAACCAACGGUCGUACCUUGGUUAUCGACUAGUUAAGGAGAGAUUGGCUAUUAGAGGGUCUCAGUAGCUAUAACCGAUCUAUUCAUAAGUAAUAAUAAUAAUCUAUAUUUGAAUCAAUGAUCAGUAGUCGAAUCAAGCUGAGUUAAUUCCUUCAACCAGAGCUUUCUCCAAUUUGAAUUACAACUUUAAUUUGCAUUCUUGUUUAUUUCAAUUUGAUUUUUAUUAUUGUCAACAAUUCCCCCAUUUUACGUUUUAUGUUUCAAAAGGAUUUAAAUAAUUACCGAUCUCUGUGGACACGACCCUGCUCAAUCACUAUACACAAUUUAUUUAGAGUAUGAAUUUAUUUUUGUUGGCUUCGACAUCCAUCAGACUCGUUGUUGGGCUGCCCUUCUUGUAAGUAAUCUAGUUGAUCCGACUGAAUGUGGAAGGUUGUAUCAUACACGCCCUGAAAAUCUGAAACUGAAUUACUCAAAUGAAUAUGCCUCUUCACAGCAAUUGGUUGAAACUUUACUGCAAAGACUUUUUGAAACCCUUGAAGAUGAUACUCUACCUGAUAACACAAGGAAACACAAUCAAUAUAAGAAGAUGAUUUUACGAAAAAAUGAAAGCUUGCCGUUAUUGGCAGAGCUCUACUCAAAUUUAAUGAGAUAUCUCUUAGGAGGGAGAGCUCUAAUAAUAUAUAAAGCCAAAAAUCUGAAAAUGUCUAACACUCAUCAAAUUGGCUUGUGAAGAAUUAAUCUUCCUUGCCAUCAUACAUGCCAGGUGUGGUGAACAAUCUUCAUUCUGACAUUUGCUUUAAUAAGCUGCUUAGUAUCCUUAACUUGAUAACUUACACAAACAAAAACUGUGAAAAUAGGUAGAGAAAAAGGUUAUGGAAUAAUUCUCUAUUUCAUAUCUUCAUGAGACUGUACGCAGAAUAUUACACACUGAUUUCUAGGAAGCAAUAACUUUAUAUUUACACCAAAUAUACACCUAAAUAUAUAAGGAAAACCAAAUCAAUUUGAUUGGGUCAACCUUUCAACACUCCCCCUCAAGCUGGUCUAAAAAUGUCUUUCAUGGCCAGCUUGCAAACCAAUUUCUCAAAAUGUUUCUUAGGUAGUCCCUUGGUGAAUAUAUCAGCAAUCUGCUCAUUUGUAGGAAUAUAGGGCAUGCAGACCAAACCACUGUCUAGUUUUUCUUUUAUGAAGUGUUUGUCCACUUCAACAUGUUUAGUUCGGUCGUGGAGUACUGGAUUAUGUGCUAUUGCAAUGGUAGAUUUGUUGUCACAAUAUACUUUCAUAGGUAGUGAAUUACUUGCCUUAAGUUCUUCAAGAAUUUUUUUGAUCCAAAAACCUCACAAAUUCCUAGAGCUACUGCUCUAUAUUCUGCCUCUACACUACUUUUUGCUACCACAGUUUGUUUCUUGCUGCGCCAAGUGACCAAAUUUCCUCCAACAAAGGUGCAGUAACCAGAAGUGGAUCUUCUAUCGGUUACACUACCAGCCCAGUCAGCAUCAGUGUAGACUUCUACUUGUAGGUGCCCGUUUUUUCUGAACAAAAGACCUUUACCCGGAGAUCCUUUUAAGUAUCUAAGGAUUCUAUAUACAGUUUCAAAGUGUUCUGGUCUUGGAGCAUGCAUAAACUGGCUGACUAAGCUCACUGCAAAGGCUAUGUCCGGGCGUGUAUGUGAAAGGUAGAUUAAUCUACCUACAAGGCGUUGGUACCGAUCUAUGUUGGUCACAUCUUCAAUUUUAGCUGGCUGUAAUUUCGUAUUAGGAUCUAUGGGUGUCUCGGCUGCUUUACAUCCGAGUAGACUUGUCUCUUCAAGCAAAUCAAGAACAUACUUGCGUUGAGACAUAACAAUCCCAUCUUUUGAUCUAGCAAACUCCAUGCCCAAAAAAUACUUCAGGUUGCCUAAGUCUUUGAUUUCAAAGUCACGUGCAAGCACUUUCUUUAAUCUGCAAAUCUCAACUAAGUCAUCACCAGCCAAAAUUAUAUCAUCUACAUAUACAAUUAACACGGCUAAUUUCCCUUCAAUAGAAUGUUUGUAAAACAUUGUAUCAUCUGCCUGACUUUGGGAGUAGUCGUGUCCCUUUAUAACAUUACCAAAGCGUUCAAACCAUGCUCUAGGAGACUAUUUAAGCCCAUACAAAGACUUAUGUAGUUUACACACUUUAUUGCUGCCGUGAUUUCCCUCAAAACCUGGUGGUAAAUCCAUAAAGACUUCUUCUUCUAGCUUCCCAUUCAGAAAAGCAUUUUUAACAUCUAACUGGUAUAGAUUCCAAUCAGAAUGUACAUCCAAUGAGAUAAGGACCCGGAUGGAAUUUAUCUUUGCAACGGGGACAAAGGUUUCUUGAUAAUCAAUUCCAUAGGUUUGAGUGAACCCUUUUGCUACAAGCCUUGCCUUAUAUCUCUCAACACUCCCAUCAGCAUUACAUUUAAGUGUAAACACCCACUUACAACCCACAGUUUUCUUUUCUUUUGGUAAAUCCACAAUCUCCCACGUACCAUUCUUCUUUAGAGCAUUCAUUUCCUCUAAAACUGCUAACUUCCAAUCUGGGUGGUCUAGGGCUUCUUUUAUGGUUUUAGGAAUUGGUAUCUGAGAGAUUUUUGUGGUAAAGGCUCUUUGUUUAUUGGACAACUUUUCAUAGGAAACAUAUCUAGCAAUGGGGUGCUUAGUACAGGUUUGGGUUCUUUUCCUAUGUGUUAUAGGUAAGUCAAGAUCAGGAAAAAAAGUGCUGGAAUGUUUAGGAGAAGAAAUGUUACCUGAAUUUUCUGAGGAAUCAGUGCUUGGAGGCGACGAUUGAGGCUGUACCAAGUUUAUGAGAGGGUCUUUACUGCUGUGAUGAUACUUUCGAGUAUAAACACGAAGCUCUGGUGGUGGAAUUUUAUCUUGUAGUAUUUCUCCCCCUGUCUCGGGUACAUUAACACUUGGUUCCUGUAGUUCAAGGUUUCCUAGGUUUUCAUUAUUAGAAAUAUCAGUUUUUUGAGUUUGAGUUGAAGUGCCCAGAUCAGGUAAAAACAUAUUAGGCAUAGGUGUAGAAGUAUGCCAAAAAUGAUCUUCACUAUUUUCUUUCUCCCCCUGAAGAGAAUUUGGGCCAAAAAAAGGUUGAUUUUCAAGAAAUAUAACAUCCAUACUGACAUGGAAUUUCUUUGUUUAAGGAUUGAAACAUUUGUAACCUUUUUUAUUAGGAGCAUAGCCCAAGAAAACACAUUUUUCAGAUCUAGGAUCCAAUUUAGAUCUAAGAUGGUUAGGAACAUGAACAAAUACAGUGCACCCAAAGACUUUUAACUGAAUAUUGGAGGUAAUCCUACUAGAAGGAUAUAUAAGUGUGAAGUAUUCUAAAGGUGAUUGAUACUUUAAAACACGGGUAGGCAUCCUAUUAAUCAAAUAACAUGCUGUUAAAACAACAUCACCCCACAAAUAUUUAGGAACAUGCAUAGAGAGCAUGAUAGCCUGACUAACUUCAAGUAAAUGGCGGUUUUUUCGUUCCGCAAUUCCAUUUUGUUGUGGAGUAUCACGACAAGUGGAUGUGUGAAUUAUACCCUUUUCCUUACAAAACACCUCUAGAUAAUUAUUAAAAUAUUCAGUACCAUUAUCUGUAUAGAGUAGGCUUAUUUUUGUUUGAAAUUGAUUUUCAACCAUGUUAUAAAAAUCUUUGAAUAACCCCUCAACUUCAGAUUUUUCUCUCAUUAAAUAAACCCAACAAAGCCGAGUAUGAUCAUCUAUGAAUGUUACAAACCAUUUUUUUUCCAAUUAAAGUGUUGAUUUUUGAGGGUCCCCAAACAUCACUAUGAAUUAAAUAAAAAGGUUUUGAGGCACGAUAAGUAAGUGCUUUAUAUGAAACUCGAUGACUUUUAGAUAAAAAACAACUUUCACACUGAAAAGUAGUACAAUCAACAUUUUUAAAUAAAUCUGGAAACAAAUAUUUCAAAUAAGGAAAGCUAGGGUGUCCUAGUCUAAGGUGCCAAAGCAUUAUUUGAUCCCUAGCAGAGUUUGAACUAAUACUACUGCUCAAACCUUGAGCUUGUUUAUUCAUUGAUAAGUAGUCAUCAAAAUAGUAAAGACCUUCUCGCAAACUAGCACUGCCAAUCAUCGUCCCCAAGUCCCUGUCCUGAAAUUCACAAUAGGAGUAAAAAAAGACAGCACAACAAUUAAAAUCUUUGGUUAAUUUACUGCCAGAUAACAAAUUGCAAGAAAGUUUAGGGACAUGUAGCACAUUUUUAAGCUCAAUGGUUCCAGAGAUUUUUAUUGAUCCUUUUCCAGCUAUGGAAGAUAAGCUUCCAUCAGCAACUCUUACCUUUUUGUUACCAGGGCAAGGAUAAUAGGAAUCAAAUAAACUAGAAAUGCUAGUCAUAUGAUCAGAAGCACCCAAAUCAAUAAUCCAUGGUGCAGUAGUUGAGUGGCUAAAUAGAGCAUUAAUAAUACUACCUGUUUGGGCUAGUGAACCACUAGGAGUACUAGGUGGAGGAUUAGAAGUGAGCAACUUUAUGAGAUGGUCAAUUUGCUCCUUGCUGAGAUUUUUUUCUAGAUUCUCCACUUCAUUGGCAGACGCACGGCUAUGCUUGCUGUUUUUCCAGUUUGCAGGCUUUUCGUGGAGUUUCCAGCAAGCCUCCCGAGUAUAGCGUGGUUUAUUACAGUAAUCACACCAUACUCGAGGUUUUUGUUGCUGUUGAGUGAUGGAGCGGGUAGCAUUAGCAUCUGCUGUAACAAGGGCAGAUUUUUCCACAGAGACAACGGAGUUCGUUUUUCCCAACAUAACACCUCGACGACUUUCUUCUCUCCUUACUUCAGAGAAAACAUCCUCAAGAGUAGGAAGUGGCUUUCUCCCAAUAAUUCUUCCUCUUACCUCAUCAAAUUCAACAUUGAGCCCAGCCAGGAACUUGAAGAUUCGCUCAUUAUUGACAAUUUGUUUGUGGUGUUUAAAAUCUUCCAUUCUCUCCCACUCGUAGUCAUUGAAUAAGUCCAGAUCUUGCCACAAUCUCUUUAGAGUAUUGAAGUAUUUUGUUAUACUAUAAUCUCCUUGACGAAUAUCUCUAAGAGCAAGCUGCAACUCAUAGAUCUGGGACUAAUUUCCAUAGUCAGAGUACAUCUGACUCACAUUAUCCCAGUGUUCUUUUGCAGUAGAGUAGCACAUAUAAUUUGCACUAAUGUCUUCAUCCAUGGAGUUGACUAACCACGCCAUAAUCAUGGAGUUUUCGGCAUCCCAAACACCAUAAGAGGGAUCAGAUAUUUCAGGAGCCUUAACAUCUCCGGUAAGAUAACCAAUCUUCCCUCUUCCCCUAAUAUACAUUCUAACCGACUGAGACCAUCUUUGAAAAUUUCCUUCAUUCAGCUGGAUAGUUGUAAUCUGGACAGAAAGAGAUUCAGAAUGGGAAAUUUUUUGUUCUAGUCUUUUUGAGGUGACUGUGGUUUCAGAAGAUUGGUCAGACAUGGUAGGGAAGAGAUUAGAAAGAAAGGGAGCCUAACUCUGAUACCAUGUGAAAAUAGGUAGAGGAAAAGGUUAUGGAAUAAUUCUCUAUUUCAUAUCUUCAUGAGACUGUACACAGUCUUAAUAUAGGGAUACAAGAGACUAAGAAAGGAAAGAAAAAAUUAAAGCAGAAUAUUACACACUGAUUUCUAGGAAGCAAUAACUCUAUAUUUACACCAAAUAUACACCUAAAUAUAUAAGGAAAACCAAAUCAAUUUGAUUGGGUCAACCUUUCAACAAAAGCAACUUUACUAAAGUUUAUUCCUUAAAGGCAAAAUAGUAAAGAAGAUGAUAUAUGCUGAUACAAUAAAUUGACCUGAGUUAUCCUGAUGUCAAGAAUCACAGCACCUCAUGUGGGCAAAAUCAUCGCAAUACAAGAUGCUGAAUUCAAGCAACAUCUUAUCACCUGUAAUUUAAUUAAGACAAUAACUUUCCUCAACUAUUACCCUUCUCAAUUUCAAUGUAUUAUUGGCAACUAAAUUCAUAGGGGACGUAGCUAAUUAAAUGCCCUUUUAACAAUAUCUUCCCCACCUAACAAUUAUUUGGAAAAUCUAAAUGAGAAUCAUGCAUUGAUGGCAUAAAAAAUUGGCCACAAAGCUGCCUAGAAAAAGGCUUUAAAUUCUUAAUGAGACAACGAAUUCGAACAAAUAUGGUGAAUGAAGAGACAAAGGCAUAACACCUCAAGAAGCAAAGCUCUGUUUCUGUAUGUGCUGAAACCAUUGGAAACCCAUGGAAAUGAAUUUCUACGAAUUAGACAUGUCAGCCAAAACAGGUGCUCUGUACGAGCAAAGUAAAAGAGAGUUACAAAAAAUUUUAAGAUAAUUAAACUUUUAAUCACCAUAUAAUUAAUAGAAAACUUUGUACACAAUGAUUUAUUGGAGAUUAAGAUUGUAUACCUAAGUUUUAAUUUCAAACUAAAUAUGCACAACAUGACAUUAGCAUUAGAAGACCGCACCAAAACGUACCGAAUUGAAUGUACCUCUUCGCGGCCAUUGUACAAGCAUUGAAACUUUACCGCAAAAGCUGUUUCAAACGUGAUGCACCUUAGAGAUGCAAGAUAAGAAAUUGUUAUUACAACUAGCAUUGAAACAUGUGUGGAACUGUUAAUGGACCUAAAUAACCUGAAAAUCAGAAAAGAUUAGGAAUGAGUGACUAAGCCUGCUAAUCGCAACUAAACAUACAAACCUUGAAAAUCCAAAAUUGUACUCGAUGAAUGUGCAAUUGCUCGAGCAGGUAACUGUGCAAUUGCUCGAGCAGGUAACUUUACUACAAAGGCUCUUACAAACCCUCAAAGAUGAUAAUCUACAUACCAUGGUAACCUGAAUAAUAAAAAGAAACACAGUGAAUAUUAAAGGGCAUUCUGACAAUGCAAAUUUGUGCAAAUUAACAACUGCGGUUACUUGUAUAAUAGUGUCGAUACCGAAUUCCUUCCUCCAUGGAAGCAUAUGAUCACCCCACAUGUGCUUUGCUCUGUAGCUUUUGAGUACCUGAAAUUGUUAUUACAACCAACCGUGAAAAUUGGGUGAAAAAAUGGUAAUAUUAGCAUAAUUGAAUUUGCUUAUAGAGGAUAAACCGAUCAAAGGAAAAAACAAGAUAGAAAUGAUGAUCUUAGUACCUUAAUAUCAUGUAAUAAUAAUCACCAUGCCUUCCAGGCAGCUAUCCAUCCUCAAUUGAAACAGAGCAGACCUGGCCAUCACUUUCUUCUUCAAAGUCCAGCAACUGAACGUUGCACACAACACCACAGUGGAAGUAGUUCCAACACCAGCCUAAUCCUUGAUUACCCCAAUGUUCUCCAUAGGGUCUUCAAAGUCAACCUAAAAAUAAAAAUGAAAAUGCAAUGCAUUAUUAUUAAGGAUCUAGUGCUUGAGCUUGCUUUGAUAUCAUGGUAUUAGCAAAUUCUGAUAUAGCCAAAAUGGUGAAUAAGAUGAUGUACUUGAUGAGAAAAACUUGAUUUAACAAAUAAUUAAGGAGCCGGUAACAAUCACAGAAUCUCAUCAUGUGGGGAACGCCUUGGCAACAGAAGAUGGUGCUUUCAUACAAGCAAUAGCAACUUUCCAAUUUCAUAAGGUAGUUUAAUGGCACUUUUAAGAACAUUUGUACCAGCCUAACAAUUAUUCAUGGAAAUUAAAAUUCAGAAUCAUGUUAGACUGAGAGAUGAAAUAUAAUAAGCGAUUUGGCCACCAUAUAUGCAUUUAUCACCUUCAAUUUGCUCAUCUUUGUCUAGUGUAUUGCUUCUGCAUUAACUUAAUUAGCUUGCAAGCCACCUUAAAAUGGUUUUAAAUAAAGUGUAAGAGCUCAAAUUCGAACGAAUUAAUCAAAUAUGCUGACAGGAGAAACAAAAGUAAAAUAACCACAAGAAGUAUAAAUAUACUUUUGUUAUAUUCGGAGCAUCUUCUAGCGUCAAGUUCUUUUCCUUUAGCUCUGUUUCUGUUUGUGCUCAAACGCAAUGGCUAAAGGGUCAAGAUAAUUUUAUGACCAUCAAUCUUUUUGCAGCCACAUGCAGACUUGAAAAACUGGUCGUGGCCCUAAGGAACUUGAAAAUUAGAAAAGAUUCAGAAUGAGUGACUAAAUAUUAUAAUCGAAACUAAUUAAACAUACACGCCUAGAAAAUCUGAAACUGAAUUCCUCAAAUGUAUAUGCCUCUUCGCAGCAAUUGCUUGUGGUGGAAACUUUACUGCAAAGACUUUCUCAAACCCUUGAAGAUCACACUCUACCUGAUAACAAAGAAACAGAGUCAAUAUACGAAGAUGAUUUUACUAACAAGUGAGAGCUUACACAUGUUGGAAGGAUAAUGAUUACUCAUAACCCAAAUCCCCAAUACUCCCUAAUAUCUCACUCAAGUGAGUUCGAGCUCCCAGAAUUCACUACUGUGAAACUCUCACAACAAAAUUCUCUUCAAAGAUUCUCUACUCAAAUUUGAUGAUGAUAUCUCUCGAAGGAAGGCAAAAGAAUCUAACACUGAUAAAAUUGGCUUGUGAAGAAUUAAUCUUCCUCGCCAUCAUUCAUACCAGGUGCGGUAACAAUCUUCAUUCUGACAUUUGCCUUAAUAAGCUGCUUUGUAACCUUAACCUGAUAACUCACACAAACAAAAACAACUUGCCUAAAGUUUAAUAUUUAGAGCAGAACAGUAAAGAAGAUGAUAUAUAUGAUACAAAAAUUUCACCUGUGUUACCCUGAUGUCAAGAAUCAUAGCAUCUCAUGUGGGCAAAAUCUUCGCAACACGAGAUGCUUGCAAAAUUGGAGCAGCAUCUUAUCACCUGUAAUUUAAUUGAGAGAAUAACUUUCCCCAACCAUUUCAAUGCAUUAUUGGCAACUAAAUUCAGAGGGUGCUAAUUAAAUACCCUUUUAAAAAUAUCUUCUUAUUCUUCUUCAAUCUAACAAUUAUUUGGAAAAUCUAAAUGACAAUCAUGCAUUGAUGGCAUCAAUAUUUGGCUACAAAGCAGCCUGGAAAGGGCUUUACUCUCUGAAUGAGAGCAUGAAUUCGAAACAAAUAUGAUGAAUGAAAAAACAAAGGCAUAAUACCACAAAAAGUAAAACUUUUUCCCAGGGCUCUCUGUUUCUGUUUGAGCUAAAACCAAUGGAAACCGAUGGAAAUGAAUUUCUAUGAAUUAGACAUAUCAGCCAAAACAGGUAUUCUGUACAAGCAAAGUAAAAUAGGGUUACAAAAAAUUUUAAGAUUGAUAUGAUAAUUAAAAUUGUAAUUAAAAUUUCAGUCACCAUAUAAUUAAUAGAAAACUUUGGACACAAUGAUUUAUUGCAUAUUAAGAUUGCUAUACAAAAUAUAAUAUUAGCAUUACGAGACCGCACCAAAGCAUACCGAAUUGAAUGUGCCUUUUCACAGCCAUUUUACAAGCUUUGAAGCUUUACCACAAAUGCUUUUUCCAACCCGUGAACAUGAUGCACCCGGGAGAUGCAAGCUACGAAAUUGGUACUACAGCAAGCGUUGGAACAUUUGUUAAAAAUGGAAGUUUAAGAAAAUAUGCCAUUGGAUACCUGUCUUCAGGAAUCAAUUCAUCCGUAAUAAUAAUUUUCAAGAAGUAUCAACUGCUUUAAGCUCAUCGACAUCACAGAGAUCUUCAACUAAAAUAGAGCAGAUCCGGCCAUCACUAUCCCUUCUACUGCUCUUUUCCUUUAGAGAAUGCUUGAAUUACAGAAUGCGUGUAAGGCAUUCUUCUUCAAGGUCCAAUGAUCAAACUGUUGGGGAAAAUUAGUUUUUUAAAUUUUUUAUAAAACCUUUUGAAGAUCGCUCUCAUAUAAUAUAUAAGAAUUUGUAUUCUAGAAAUCGUACCUUGAAAAUCCGAGUUGGCUUUUUCCGCUGAAGUGAUUUAGGCUCCUAGAUCAUGAUCCGCCACCACCACUCCUGUUAGAUCACGAUCCAUCACCACCACGCUUGUUAGAUCACGAACUGUCACCACCACGCUUGUUAGAUCACGAACUGUCACCAAUGAUCUUCCAGGUUAUGACUCAGGUUCGAUCUGCACUUGACGUGUGGGCGCCUUUAUCACUACCAAAGCAACUAGCACGAGAAAAAAAUUUUCUCAACAAUAGAGAGAAAAAAAUUUUCUCAACGAUCUUAUUCUCAGAUCUGUAUAAAGUGGCUUCACUCUUUUCUUUAGAGAAAAUAAGUCUUUUAUAUCACCCUUUAGUGAAAACCCUAGGCUCCAAAUAAUCAAAAAACAAAACCCACGUUAUUUGCUUUUUCAAUAGGGGACCCACCUUGUAAAAUAACAUAAGGCCCCUUACACAAAAGCUAAUUAAAUGGAGCCUCCCACUAAAUGAUAUAUUUAGGCUUUUGACCCAAAUAGCUAGUUAUCUUACUUAUUAGUCCAGUAGUGGUGCAGUCAAUUAAAUGAGCUAACCCGGGGAUCAUUUGGGAACAUACAAUAGUGGCUACAAUAAUUAGGCCUAUAAUUAAACUAGCCCAAUUAUUUAAUUCCAAAUCUACUCCACUAAAAGAUUGGAAUUGACUUCCAUUUUUGUAUGCUCGAAUAAUAAUUCGUCCCAAGCCACAUUGAUUUCUUUAUUGCACAAUCAUUUGUACCACAUCGUUAAUUAAAUUGAUAUCUCAACUGUCCAAUCAAUUUAAUAACAUCUUAUUCCUUGAUACUUACUGGUUUUCUCUAAUGAUCAUUUUCAACAUACUAAAUAUGUUGACACACUCUGGCCAGAGAAUUCUAUGAUCAAGUGCCGAAAACCCAUCAAGAGAUGUGUUGUACAAAUUCUAUAUUGUUAAUCUAUAACUCCAAUACUCAUAAAUGCUCCCACCAAGAUACCGGGUAAUCUAGACUACAAGUAUGUGUCAUGCCCAUUGGUAACUCAAAUGGAAUAACAAUUACAAUCAUGAAAUCAUAAUUAACUCAAGAUUAAGAUUACAGUAAAAUCAAUGCCUAUGAGAUUUAAUAAGUCUGACAGUUAUUACAAAGUUAAUUAAAUCUCAUAUGUGAUCCUGUUCAAUGUAGUCGUACUACAUCAAUAAAUUCAUAUAUGAUUAAGACAAAUCAUUUAAUGAAUUUAUUACAGUCUAUACCUAAAUAAAGUGCCCAACUUUAUUUAUCAACUGCGAACAAAAUUUAUUUAAUCAUAAGAUAACUUGUAUUUAUGUCUUCUGUGAAUCCACAUGGUGAUCACAUAAAUACAUAUAAUAUGAUUAAAUGGACUUUAAUAAAAAUAUUAAUGCAAUUAAGAUAUUUGAAUAAAAUACCUCAUUAAUUUUAUUAAUCAGAAAAAAUAUUUAUUACAAUUAAAUAAACACAUAUGCUUUUAAAGAGCAUAUUUUCCCAACACAAACCUUUCACAAUAAAAACAGAGGUAGUAGUUCCUUCGCCAGCCUAAUCCUUGGUCUCAGGAAUGUCCUCAACAGAGUUCUCGAAAUCAAGCUAAAAAUUAAGAAUGAGUUGGAAAACUGUUUAUGGCCCUAAAGAACUUGAAAAUCAGAAAAGAUUAAGAAUGAGUGACUAAACAUUUUGAUCGCAACUAAACAUACAAACCUUGAAAAUCUAAUUUUGAAGUACUCUUAAAUGAAUGAGCAAUUGCAGGAGCUGGUGACAACUAAGGUUACUGUGAAGUGUCUUACAAAUCCUUAAAGAUGAUACUUUACAUACCACGAUAACCUGAUAACACAUAGGAACACAAGGAACAUUAAAGUGUAUUCUGACAAUGCAAAUUUGUGGAAAUUAUCAGCUGUGGUUACCUAGACAAUAUUGCCAACACCAAACUCCUUCCUCAAUUGAAACAUAUGAUCAGCCCACAAAUGCUUUGCUUUGUAGCUUUUGAGAGCCUGAAAUUGUUUUCACAACCAACAAUGAAAAUUGGGUGAAAAUUUUGAUAAUAUUAGCAUAAUUCCAUAUGUUUAUAUAGGAUAAACCGAUCAAAGAAUGAAACAAGAUAGAAAUGAUGAUCUUAGCACCUUAACAUCAUGCAAUAAUAAUCAUCAUGUCUUUCAGGCAGCUAUCCAUCCUCAAUUGAAACAGAGCGGACCCGCCCAUCACUUCCUUCUUCAAAGUCCAGCAACCAAACGUUGCACAAUAACCACAGUGAUAAUCCUUGGUUACCCCAAUGUUCUCCGUAGAGUCUUCAAAGUCAACCUAAAAAUGAAAUAAAAAUGCAAUGCAGAUGGAAAUUGAAAAUUCUAUAAAUUAAAUAAAAUAAAAAUGCAAUGCUUUAGCAUCAUCAUAAUAGUAAAUUUUUAUAUACCUUUACUUCUCUGUUCUUGUUUAUACACAACAAGAUAUCAAUAGAAGAAGAUGGAAAUGAAAUUCUAUAAAAUAAAGCAAGUGAAUUACCAGCAGAACAUUUUAGCAAUCCUUUGGCUAAACUUUUCAUUUUCAUAGUUUUGCUCUCCUGCCUGCAUCAUUAGAACCAAAUUAGCUUGGACCUGCGAAUUGCUAGUGUAGUUCUGACAUUUCCUCGAAUCCCUGGUGAACAUAAUUACACUCGUAUGAAAUAAAACAAAGUGGGCUAAUGUACUACCAAAAACAAUUAUACAAUUACUUUAAAGAAUUAAUGUCACAUAAAUUAUAUAUAUAAAAAAAAUAUGAUUAUCAUUAUACAAGAUAAAAUUGAUAAUUUAGUUUUCAACAUUACUGCAAAUGUAUCACAGAGAUUUUGUCUCUCAAGAAGUUACACAUAACAAAUUUUCGUACAUUAAAAAAUAAAUUACAUUGGGAUUUUCUAUGAUGUUGUAUGAAAUUUUACAAAAGACUGCAUAUUUUUUAGAAGAAAAUAUAAAAAUUUCAAUAGACUAUACUUUUUUUUUAAUUAUUAUUAUAUAACCUUGAUAAUACAAGUUUAAUAGAUUUGAUAACUAGGAAGUUUAAAUUUUAAAUAACUGAAAUUAAAAUAUUAUCUUAAUUAACUUUUGACUUUAUGAAUUAUUGAUUAACUCUAACAGUACAUAUAUAUACCAUGAUUGAUUUUAUAAUUUUUAUAACAGCAUCAUAGAGUGACCCAUUAAAUUAAUGGUUGAAGUAAACAAAAUUCAAUAUGCAAAUCAAAAUAUUAGAAAAAUAUUAUAUAUUCCUGUCAGACAUUGGCAAUAUAUAGAAUUUUAAUUCAAAAUAUAAUUAUUUUUAUUACCGGCGAGUGAUAUCUUACGCCGACAGAAUGAUGUGGGGAAUGUGAGAUAUUUUAUGCCACUUUUCUCCUUUCCCCUCUCUAUAAUGGUUUUCCAGAAGAGGACAUCUGUCAAUAGUCAAUUCCUGCAGCGUCGACGUUCGAAGGAGGUAAUCCGACAGCACCUUUAAUUUGGGGCAAUACCAAAUUCGUAAGGAAGAAAGAUGUGGUCCUGCGAUCUUCUAGAAUGGGCAGUUCUUCUAGAAGAUCACAAGAAUAAAUACUUAGUUCCUACAAAAUUUAACUUUAAGCGACGGACUUUGUCACCAAAAGAAUUUAUGACUGAUUCCUUAGUACCAUUAAUUUCUAGCCACAGGCAUUCUUUGCUACUUACAAACUGAGCAAAAUCAUGUACUAUGUCAUGCAUCUUGAAACUCAUAAUAUUUCUUAAACUCUUGAAAGAAAGAGCGUGCUGCUAAAAUGUUGAAAUACUCUUCUCCAAUCAUCUCCAUUUCUUCGUCUUCUUCUGCAUUAAGGUAAUCUUGAGCCAUCCACAGAUUAAUCAAUUCCUCUUUAUCCAUAUUGCAGUCUUUUGGAAAGACAGUACAAUAUGAGAAACACCGUUUUACCAUAGAAUUGGAGGGUAAAUCGUUAUAACUCAACAACAAAGGAGUCAAAAGACCUUGCCCAAUCUCUUGUACUUUCCACAUUUCACUCCCUAAAAUUCUUUGUCACUCUUUUACUGUACUUUUAGACCGCAAGAGAUUCCCUAUUACCUUUGCAGCAACAGGCAAGCCUUUGCACUUGUGUGCAAUUUUUCGCCCCAUUGGUUCUAAUUUUUCACGAUCCUCAAAAGAACGACCGAAAAAUGCUAAC